Loxodonta africana (African savanna elephant) is the source of this 57-nucleotide transfer RNA. It matches the Rfam family "tRNA", at positions 8 to 63 of the family's 71-position model. From Rfam's summary of the family: Transfer RNA (tRNA) molecules are approximately 80 nucleotides in length. Their secondary structure includes four short double-helical elements and three loops (D, anti-codon, and T loops). The record is from Rfam. NCBI's taxonomy places the organism in Eukaryota, Metazoa, Chordata, Mammalia, Proboscidea, Elephantidae.
UGGCACAGUGGUUAAGCGCUUGGCUGCUAACCAAAAGGUUGGUGGUUUGAAUCCACC